This 253-nucleotide ribosomal RNA is filed under the name uncultured bacterium. RNAcentral describes it as "partial 16S ribosomal RNA". It matches the Rfam family "Bacterial small subunit ribosomal RNA", at positions 524 to 776 of the family's 1533-position model. The record is from RNAcentral.
UACGUAGGUGGCAAGCGUUGUCCGGAAUUAUUGGGCGUAAAGCGCGCGCAGGCGGCCUCUUAAGUCUGAUGUGAAAGCCCCCGGCUCAACCGGGGAGGGCCAUUGGAAACUGGGAGGCUUGAGUAUAGGAGAGAAGAGUGGAAUUCCACGUGUAGCGGUGAAAUGCGUAGAGAUGUGGAGGAACACCAGUGGCGAAGGCGACUCUUUGGCCUAUAACUGACGCUGAGGUCGCGAAAGCGUGGGAGCAAACAGG